This 72-nucleotide transfer RNA is filed under the name Danionella translucida. It matches the Rfam family "tRNA". From Rfam's summary of the family: Transfer RNA (tRNA) molecules are approximately 80 nucleotides in length. Their secondary structure includes four short double-helical elements and three loops (D, anti-codon, and T loops). Lineage: Eukaryota; Metazoa; Chordata; Actinopteri; Cypriniformes; Danionidae. RNAcentral also lists the same sequence under 1 other name. The record is from Rfam by way of RNAcentral.
GCCGAAAUAGCUCAGUUGGGAGAGCGUUUACUGCAGAUCUAAAGGUCCCUGGUUCAAUCCCGGGUUUCGGCA